CCUACGGGGGGCAGCAGUCGAGAAUCAUUCACAAUGGGGGAAACCCUGAUGGUGCGACGCCGCGUGGGGGAAUGAAGGUCUUCGGAUUGUAAACCCCUGUCAUGUGGGAGCAAAUUAAAAAGAUAGUACCACAAGAGGAAGAGACGGCUAACUCUGUGCCAGCAGCCGCGGUAAUACAGAGGUCUCAAGCGUUGUUCGGAAUCACUGGGCGUAAAGCGUGCGUAGGCUGUUUCGUAAGUCGUGUGUGAAAGGCGCGGGCUCAACCCGCGGACGGCACAUGAUACUGCGAGACGGGAGGAAUGGAGGGGGAACCGGAAUUCUCGGUGUAGCAGUGAAAUGCGUAGAUAUCGAGAGGAACACUCGUGGCGAAGGCGGGUUCCUGGACAUUAACUGACGCUGAGGCACGAAGGCCAGGGGAGCGAAAGGGAUUAGAUACCCUGGUAGUC
This 446-nucleotide ribosomal RNA is filed under the name uncultured bacterium. RNAcentral describes it as "partial 16S ribosomal RNA". It matches the Rfam family "Bacterial small subunit ribosomal RNA", at positions 338 to 795 of the family's 1533-position model. The record is from RNAcentral.